This 468-nucleotide ribosomal RNA is filed under the name uncultured bacterium. Its description in RNAcentral is "partial 16S ribosomal RNA". It matches the Rfam family "Bacterial small subunit ribosomal RNA", at positions 28 to 507 of the family's 1533-position model. The record is from RNAcentral.
GAUGAACGCUGGCGGCGUGCUUAACACAUGCAAGUCGAACGGAAAGGCCGAAGCUUGCUUCGGUACUCGAGUGGCGAACGGGUGAGUAACACGUGGGUGAUCUGCCCUGUACUUCGGGAUAAGCUUGGGAAACUGGGUCUAAUACCGGAUAUGACGAUCUCUUGGAUGGGGUUGUGGAAAGCUUUUGCGGUAUGGGAUGAGCUCGCGGCCUAUCAGCUUGUUGGUGGGGUAAUGGCCUACCAAGGCGUCGACGGGUAGCCGGCCUGAGAGGGUGUACGGCCACAUUGGGACUGAGAUACGGCCCAGACUCCUACGGGAGGCAGCAGUGGGGAAUAUUGCACAAUGGGCGCAAGCCUGAGGCAGCGACGCCGCGUGGGGGAUGACGGCCCUCGGGUUGUAAACUCCUUUCGCAAUCGACGAAGCCUUUUGGUGACGGUAGGUUGAGAAGAAGCACCGGCUAACUACGUG